UUGAUGCAUUGGCAGUCGAUCAAAUGAUUUAUCCACAUCGACCCGACCUGACGACUCAAUUUGGUUAUCCUCUCGCCCGUGCUAGGGUUCCAUCGAGCAUCGCCGCCAGGAGCCGGCAAAGGUGCGCCCGCCAAGCUCGGGGUGCUUCACGCCUAGUGGUUGCUGCCAAAUCUAAGGCCGAUCAAUCCGACCAUAUAUUUUCUCCCUGCGAUUCUCCCACGUCAAGCUACUAAACAGAAUCGCUGGUGGCGUCAUGAACUGCCGUUGAUCUGUGCUUAUGGCAUCACAUCUAAAUCUUGAGAUGAUAAUGAAAUUUGUAAAUGCAAGCACGGAGUAUAAGGUUUUACGUGUGAUCCUCUUCGCCUCCCCUAUCAUCAAAUCCUGGCUCCGCCCCUGGUCAGUACCUCCACUCCAGUCAGUUGGUGCAUGCAUGGAUGGACCGAUAUGUUUUGCUUUCUGGAUUUAGUAUGUCGCCGGCCAGGUCGAGUGGUCGACGCGCGAGCUGAUUGAUUGGUCCUUCUUUUCCUAUGUAGUUUGGCCCUUGAUUUCUUUUGUACUCCAAAGUAUGAGGAAGGGCCACUUUUAGUUGCAAUUUUGCUGUCAUGCUGUUUCUUCAUCACUUGUGAUGAGUUGUGAGUAUCAUGCCCCAUACUUCGCAAAAAGAAAAAAAUAGUGGACGAAAUGAUAGGAGAAAAUUAUGUGCCUUACAAAAGUUGCAUCGGAAGGUUACUGACCAAAUUCUAGACAUCUGAUCCAGUGGAUAGAUGCAUCGAUGUCAACGGCCAACUGUGAGUAUGGUUUCCAUCAGCUAUU
Long non-coding RNA from Triticum aestivum (bread wheat), 813 nucleotides. RefSeq lists it as uncharacterized. The record is from RefSeq and is a predicted model, not a curated record. Lineage: Eukaryota; Viridiplantae; Streptophyta; Magnoliopsida; Poales; Poaceae. The transcript has 3 exons.